Non-coding RNA from Rattus norvegicus (Norway rat), 67 nucleotides. The record is from Rfam. Lineage: Eukaryota; Metazoa; Chordata; Mammalia; Rodentia; Muridae.
GGAUUUAGCUCAGUGGUAGAGCGCUUGCCUAGCAAGCACAAGGCCCUGGGUUCAGUCCCCAGCUCCG